This 494-nucleotide ribosomal RNA is filed under the name uncultured bacterium. RNAcentral describes it as "partial 16S ribosomal RNA". It matches the Rfam family "Bacterial small subunit ribosomal RNA", at positions 28 to 507 of the family's 1533-position model. The record is from RNAcentral.
GACGAACGCUGGCGGCGCGCUUAACACAUGCAGGUCCAACGGAAAGGCCUGCUUUCCCUUGUGGAUUGCGGGUACUCGAGUGGCGAACGGGUGAGUAACACGUGAGUGAUCUGCCCCCAACUUGGGUAUAAGCCUGGGAAACUGGGUCUAAUUCCCGAUAGGACUGCAGGGUGGUGCCUGUGGUGGAAAACGAUUUUCUAGUGGUUGGGGAUGAGCUCGCGGCCUAUCAGCUUGUUGGUGGGGUAAUGGCCUACCAAGGCGGCGACGGGUAGCCGGCCUGAGAGGGUGGACGGCCACAUUGGGACUGAGAUACGGCCCAGACUCCUACGGGAGGCAGCAGUGGGGAAUAUUGCACAAUGGGCGGAAGCCUGAUGCAGCGACGCCGCGUGGGGGAUGACGGCCUUCGGGUUGUAAACUCCUUUCGACCGCGAGGAAGCCACCUGGUUGGAAGGGUGGUGACGGUAGUGGUAGAAGAAGCACCGGCUAACUACGUG